Non-coding RNA from Coemansia sp. RSA 1694, 73 nucleotides. The record is from the annotation of a GenBank genome assembly. NCBI's taxonomy places the organism in Eukaryota, Fungi, Kickxellomycota, Kickxellomycetes, Kickxellales, Kickxellaceae.
GGUCCUAUGGUCAAGCGGUUUACGACUACAGGUUUUGAUCCUGUCAACCCGAGUUCGAAUCUCGGUAGGACCU